GCUUGGGUGGCUCAGUGGUUGAGCGUCUGCCUUUGGCUCAAGGCAUAAUCCCAGGACUGUGGGAUUGAGUCCCACAUCAGGCU
Molecule: transfer RNA, 83 nt
Filed under: Canis lupus familiaris (dog)
Lineage: Eukaryota; Metazoa; Chordata; Mammalia; Carnivora; Canidae
Also listed under: 1 other name
Rfam family: tRNA
About the family: Transfer RNA (tRNA) molecules are approximately 80 nucleotides in length. Their secondary structure includes four short double-helical elements and three loops (D, anti-codon, and T loops). Further hydrogen bonds mediate the characteristic L-shaped molecular structure. tRNAs have two regions of fundamental functional importance: the anti-codon, which is responsible for specific mRNA codon recognition, and the 3' end, to which the tRNAs corresponding amino acid is attached (by aminoacyl-tRNA synthetases). tRNAs cope with the degeneracy of the genetic code in two manners: having more than one tRNA (with a specific anti-codon) for a particular amino acid; and 'wobble' base-pairing, i.e. permitting non-standard base-pairing at the 3rd anti-codon position.
Source: Rfam by way of RNAcentral